This 465-nucleotide ribosomal RNA is filed under the name uncultured bacterium. Its description in RNAcentral is "partial 16S ribosomal RNA". It matches the Rfam family "Bacterial small subunit ribosomal RNA", at positions 338 to 795 of the family's 1533-position model. The record is from RNAcentral.
CCUACGGGGGGCAGCAGUAGGGAAUCUUCCACAAUGGGCGAAAGCCUGAUGGAGCAACGCCGCGUGGGUGAAGAAGGUCUUCGGAUCGUAAAACCCUGUUGUUAGAGAAGAAAGUGCGUGAGAGUAACUGUUCACGUUUCGACGGUAUCUAACCAGAAAGCCACGGCUAACUACGUGCCAGCAGCCGCGGUAAUACGUAGGUGGCAAGCGUUAUCCGGAUUUAUUGGGCGUAAAGGGAACGCAGGCGGUCUUUUAAGUCUGAUGUGAAAGCCUUCGGCUUAACCGGCGUAGUGCAUUGGAAACUGGGAGACUUGAGUGCAGAAGAGGAGAGUGGAACUCGAUGUGUAGCGGUGAAAUGCGUAGAUAUAGGGAAGAACACCAGUGGCGAAAGCAGCUUUCUGGUCUGUAACUGACGCUGAGGUUCGAAAGCGUGGGUAGCAAACAGGAUUAGAUACCCGGGUAGUC